RNAcentral lists this ribosomal RNA (572 nucleotides) under uncultured bacterium. RNAcentral's name for it is "bacterial SSU rRNA". It matches the Rfam family "Bacterial small subunit ribosomal RNA", at positions 202 to 794 of the family's 1533-position model. The record is from RNAcentral.
AAAAACCCAGGUGGUGUGAGAUGGAUCCGCGUCUGAUUAGCCAGUUGGCGGGGUAACGGCCCACCAAAGCGACGAUCAGUAGCCGACCUGAGAGGGUGACCGGCCACAUUGGGACUGAGACACGGCCCAAACUCCUACGGGAGGCAGCAGUGGGGAAUAUUGCACAAUGGGCGCAAGCCUGAUGCAGCGACGCCGCGUGAGUGAAGAAGUAUCUCGGUAUGUAAAGCUCUAUCAGCAGGGAAGAAAAUGACGGUACCUGACUAAGAAGCCCCGGCUAACUACGUGCCAGCAGCCGCGGUAAUACGUAGGGGGCAAGCGUUAUCCGGAUUUACUGGGUGUAAAGGGAGCGUAGACGGCGACGCAAGUCUGGAGUGAAAGCCCGGGGCCCAACCCCGGGACUGCUUUGGAAACUGUGCUGCUGGAGUGCAGGAGAGGUAAGUGGAAUUCCUAGUGUAGCGGUGAAAUGCGUAGAUAUUAGGAGGAACACCAGUGGCGAAGGCGGCUUACUGGACUGUAACUGACGUUGAGGCUCGAAAGCGUGGGGAGCAAACAGGAUUAGAUACCCUGGUAGU